Molecule: long non-coding RNA, 362 nt
Organism: Polyodon spathula (Mississippi paddlefish)
Lineage: Eukaryota; Metazoa; Chordata; Actinopteri; Acipenseriformes; Polyodontidae
Exons: 3
Source: RefSeq, a predicted model, not a curated record
UGUGCACUGUGACAGGGUGAAGGACUAUAGAAGGAGUGAAGUGUGGCCUCCCAACAGACGGAGGUGCUAGAGGUUAACUAACAUUAGAUCUAGAGUCGGGGUGCUGCGGCCAUCUUGAUAAGGGCAGCUACACAGGUGCUCCGGAUUCCAACACAUCAACCCCAAGGAUCCUUAAGGACAACCCGGGUAAUCAGGACUGGAGAAACCCAUAGAUGCCAAAGCGAAGCCGUCUGCAUCAGACGAAGACGGACACAGUCUAGGCCAUAACAGAAGAACAGUGCACCCUCUGUCUGUGGAGCUGGAGGGGAGUAGCGUACUGACCCCGAGAUCCGUUGACUGUGAGGCCACAAUAUUUUAAACAC